GAUGAACGCUGGCGGCGUGCCUAAUACAUGCAAGUCGAGCGAACAGACGAGGAGCUUGCUCCUCUGACGUUAGCGGCGGACGGGGGAGUAACACGUGGAUAACCUACCUAUAAGACUGGGAUAACUUCGGGAAACCGGAGCUAAUACCGGAUAAUAUAUUGAACCGCAUGGUUCAAUAGUGAAAGACGGUUUUGCUGUCACUUAUAGAUGGAUCCGCGCCGCAUUAGCUAGUUGGUAAGGUAACGGCUUACCAAGGCAACGAUGCGUAGCCGACCUGAGAGGGUCAUCGGCCACACCGGAACUGAGACACGGUCCAGACUCCUACGGGAGGUAGCAGUAGGGAAUCGUCCGCAAGGAGCGAAAGCAUGACUGAGCAACGCCGCGUGAGUGAUGAAGGUCUUCGGUUCGUGAACCUCUGUUAUUAGGGAAGAACAAAUGUGUAAUUAACUAUGCACGUCUUGACGGUACCUAAUCAGAAAGCCACGGCUAACUACGUG
This 497-nucleotide ribosomal RNA is filed under the name uncultured bacterium. RNAcentral's name for it is "partial 16S ribosomal RNA". It matches the Rfam family "Bacterial small subunit ribosomal RNA", at positions 28 to 507 of the family's 1533-position model. The record is from RNAcentral.